UACGGAGGGUGCAAGCGUUAUCCGGAUUUAUUGGGUUUAAAGGGUCCGUAGGUGGGACUGUAAGUCAGUGGUGAAAUCUUUCGGCUCAACCGAAAAACUGCCAUUGAUACUGCAGUUCUUGAGUAUACUCGAGGUAGGCGGAAUGUGUCAUGUAGCGGUGAAAUGCAUAGAUAUGACACAGAACACCGAUAGCGAAGGCA
RNAcentral lists this ribosomal RNA (200 nucleotides) under uncultured bacterium. Its description in RNAcentral is "partial 16S ribosomal RNA". It matches the Rfam family "Bacterial small subunit ribosomal RNA", at positions 524 to 723 of the family's 1533-position model. The record is from RNAcentral.